AACGAACGCUGGCGGCAGGCCUAACACAUGCAAGUCGAGCGAGGACUUCGGUCCUAGCGGCGGACGGGUGCGUAACGCGUGGGAACGUGCCCUUUGCUUCGGAAUAGCCCUGGGAAACUGGGAGUAAUACCGGAUGAGCCCUUUGGGGGAAAGAUUUAUCGGCGAAGGAUCGGCCCGCGUUGGAUUAGGUAGUUGGUGGGGUAAUGGCCUACCAAGCCGACGAUCCAUAGCUGGUUUGAGAGGAUGAUCAGCCACACUGGGACUGAGACACGGCCCAGACUCCUACGGGAGGCAGCAGUGGGGAAUCUUAGACAAUGGGGGAAACCCUGAUCGAGCCAUGCCGCGUGAGCGAUGAAGGCCUUAGGGUUGUAAAGCUCUUUCAGCUGGGAAGAUAAUGACGGUACCAGCAGAAGAAGCCCCGGCUAACUCCGUG
RNAcentral lists this ribosomal RNA (433 nucleotides) under uncultured bacterium. RNAcentral's name for it is "partial 16S ribosomal RNA". It matches the Rfam family "Bacterial small subunit ribosomal RNA", at positions 29 to 507 of the family's 1533-position model. The record is from RNAcentral.